This 253-nucleotide ribosomal RNA is filed under the name uncultured bacterium. Its description in RNAcentral is "partial 16S ribosomal RNA". It matches the Rfam family "Bacterial small subunit ribosomal RNA", at positions 524 to 776 of the family's 1533-position model. The record is from RNAcentral.
UACGGAGGGUGCGAGCGUUGUUCGGAAUCACUGGGCGUAAAGCGCGUGUAGGCGGCCUUCUAAGUCUGGUGUGAAAGCCCGGGGCUUACCCCCGGAAGUGCACUGGAUACUGGGAGGCUCGAGUACCGGAGAGGAAGGUGGAAUUCCUGGUGUAGCGGUGAAAUGCGUAGAUAUCAGGAGGAACACCGGUGGCGAAGGCGGCCUUCUGGACGGAUACUGACGCUGAGACGCGAAAGCUAGGGGAGCAAACAGG